This 186-nucleotide ribosomal RNA is filed under the name uncultured bacterium. RNAcentral describes it as "partial 16S ribosomal RNA". It matches the Rfam family "Bacterial small subunit ribosomal RNA", at positions 1319 to 1500 of the family's 1533-position model. The record is from RNAcentral.
CACGAAGCUGGAAUCGCUAGUAAUCGCGGAUCAGCACGCCGCGGUGAAUACGUUCCCGGGCCUUGUACACACCGCCCGUCACACCAUGGAAGUCUGCAAUGCCCGAAGCCGGUGGCCUAACCACUUAUGUGGAAGGAGCCGUCUAAGGCAGGGCAGAUGACUGGGGUGAAGUCGUAACAAGGUAAC